This 194-nucleotide ribosomal RNA is filed under the name uncultured bacterium. RNAcentral describes it as "partial 16S ribosomal RNA". It matches the Rfam family "Bacterial small subunit ribosomal RNA", at positions 1307 to 1500 of the family's 1533-position model. The record is from RNAcentral.
GCAACUCGACUGCAUGAAGCUGGAAUCGCUAGUAAUCGCGGAUCAGAAUGCCGCGGUGAAUACGUUCCCGGGUCUUGUACACACCGCCCGUCACACCAUGGGAGUCGGAUAUGCCCGAAGUCAGUGACCCAACCGCAAGGAGGGAGCUGCCGAAGGUGGAGCCGAUGACUGGGGUGAAGUCGUAACAAGGUAUC